Molecule: microRNA precursor, 105 nt
Organism: Mustela putorius furo (domestic ferret)
Lineage: Eukaryota; Metazoa; Chordata; Mammalia; Carnivora; Mustelidae
Product: microRNA 1287
Source: Ensembl
UUUUGCUGUCCCAGGUGCUGGAUCAGUGGUUUGAGUCCGAGCCCCUAAAAGCCACUCUGGCCACAGAUGCUGUGAUCGGAGCCAUGACAAGUCCCCACACUCCGG